UGGUUCUAUUUUGUUGGUUUUUGGAACUGAGGUCAAAAUUAAGAGGGGCGCUUGGAGGCAUUCAUUUUGUGCCACUAAAGGUAAAUUCUUGGACCGGUGAAAGACAGAUCAGAUGGAAAGUAUUUGCCAAUAAUGUUUUCAUUAAUCACCAAAGUCAGUCAGAGGUACCAAGUUAAUCAGAAAGCAUCUUAGGUCCAACCACAAACAAUGUGGACUGGAGAUGCAGUUGUAUUAUUCCCAUGACCCUCCUGGGCAACUUCCUGGAAACCUAAGUGUUUGGGUUUGGGGGGAGUAUGGUUGCAAAG
This 305-nucleotide non-coding RNA is filed under the name Cricetulus griseus (Chinese hamster). RNAcentral describes it as "Eukaryotic small subunit ribosomal RNA". It matches the Rfam family "Eukaryotic small subunit ribosomal RNA", at positions 831 to 1136 of the family's 1831-position model. Lineage: Eukaryota; Metazoa; Chordata; Mammalia; Rodentia; Cricetidae. The record is from Rfam by way of RNAcentral.